RNAcentral lists this non-coding RNA (136 nucleotides) under Burkholderia sp. RNAcentral describes it as "SAH sequence". It matches the Rfam family "SAH (S-adenosyl-L-homocysteine) riboswitch aptamer". Lineage: Bacteria; Pseudomonadati; Pseudomonadota; Betaproteobacteria; Burkholderiales; Burkholderiaceae. The record is from RNAcentral.
GCCGUCGAGGAGCGUUGCGACGGGUACCGCGAAUCAAACUAUUCGCCGGCCGCCCGCCAGGCUCGAAGGCUUCAAUCGGAGGGUCGAAUGCGCGUAGCGCUUUCGCCACCACCGCAUCGAACCGCGCUCACGUCAA